GUUAAGCGACUAAGCGUACACGGUGGAUGCCCUGGCAGUCAGAGGCGAUGAAGGACGUGCUAAUCUGCGAUAAGCGUCGGUGAGGUGAUAUGAACCGUUAUAACCGGCGAUUUCCGAAUGGGGAAACCCAGUGUGUUUCGACACACUAUCAUUAACUGAAUCCAUAGGUUAAUGAGGCGAACCGGGGGAACUGAAACAUCUAAGUACCCCGAGGAAAAGAAAUCAACCGAGAUUCCCCCAGUAGCGGCGAGCGAACGGGGAGGAGCCCAGAGCCUGAAUCAGUGUGUGUGUUAGUGGAAGCGUCUGGAAAGGCGCGCGAUACAGGGUGACAGCCCCGUACACAAAAAUGCACAUGCUGUGAGCUCGAUGAGUAGGGCGGGACACGUGGUAUCCUGUCUGAAUAUGGGGGGACCAUCCUCCAAGGCUAAAUACUCCUGACUGACCGAUAGUGAACCAGUACCGUGAGGGAAAGGCGAAAAGAACCCCGGCGAGGGGAGUGAAAAAGAACCUGAAACCGUGUACGUACAAGCAGUGGGAGCCUCUUAAUGGGGUGACUGCGUACCUUUUGUAUAAUGGGUCAGCGACUUAUAUUCUGUAGCAAGGUUAACCGAAUAGGGGAGCCGAAGGGAAACCGAGUCUUAACUGGGCGUUAAGUUGCAGGGUAUAGACCCGAAACCCGGUGAUCUAGCCAUGGGCAGGUUGAAGGUUGGGUAACACUAACUGGAGGACCGAACCGACUAAUGUUGAAAAAUUAGCGGAUGACUUGUGGCUGGGGGUGAAAGGCCAAUCAAACCGGGAGAUAGCUGGUUCUCCCCGAAAGCUAUUUAGGUAGCGCCUCGUGAAUUCAUCUCCGGGGGUAGAGCACUGUUUCGGCAAGGGGGUCAUCCCGACUUACCAACCCGAUGCAAACUGCGAAUACCGGAGAAUGUUAUCACGGGAGACACACGGCGGGUGCUAACGUCCGUCGUGAAGAGGGAAACAACCCAGACCGCCAGCUAAGGUCCCAAAGUCAUGGUUAAGUGGGAAACGAUGUGGGAAGGCCCAGACAGCCAGGAUGUUGGCUUAGAAGCAGCCAUCAUUUAAAGAAAGCGUAAUAGCUCACUGGUCGAGUCGGCCUGCGCGGAAGAUGUAACGGGGCUAAACCAUGCACCGAAGCUGCGGCAGCGACACUAUGUGUUGUUGGGUAGGGGAGCGUUCUGUAAGCCUGUGAAGGUGGCCUGUGAGGGUUGCUGGAGGUAUCAGAAGUGCGAAUGCUGACAUAAGUAACGAUAAAGCGGGUGAAAAGCCCGCUCGCCGGAAGACCAAGGGUUCCUGUCCAACGUUAAUCGGGGCAGGGUGAGUCGACCCCUAAGGCGAGGCCGAAAGGCGUAGUCGAUGGGAAACAGGUUAAUAUUCCUGUACUUGGUGUUACUGCGAAGGGGGGACGGAGAAGGCUAUGUUGGCCGGGCGACGGUUGUCCCGGUUUAAGCGUGUAGGCUGGUUUUCCAGGCAAAUCCGGAAAACCAAGGCUGAGGCGUGAUGACGAGGCACUACGGUGCUGAAGCGACAAAUGCCCUGCUUCCAGGAAAAGCCUCUAAGCAUCAGGUAACAUCAAAUCGUACCCCAAACCGACACAGGUGGUCAGGUAGAGAAUACCAAGGCGCUUGAGAGAACUCGGGUGAAGGAACUAGGCAAAAUGGUGCCGUAACUUCGGGAGAAGGCACGCUGAUAUGUAGGUGAAGCGACUUGCUCGUGGAGCUGAAAUCAGUCGAAGAUACCAGCUGGCUGCAACUGUUUAUUAAAAACACAGCACUGUGCAAACACGAAAGUGGACGUAUACGGUGUGACGCCUGCCCGGUGCCGGAAGGUUAAUUGAUGGGGUUAGCGGCAACGCGAAGCUCUUGAUCGAAGCCCCGGUAAACGGCGGCCGUAACUAUAACGGUCCUAAGGUAGCGAAAUUCCUUGUCGGGUAAGUUCCGACCUGCACGAAUGGCGUAAUGAUGGCCAGGCUGUCUCCACCCGAGACUCAGUGAAAUUGAACUCGCUGUGAAGAUGCAGUGUACCCGCGGCAAGACGGAAAGACCCCGUGAACCUUUACUAUAGCUUGACACUGAACAUUGAGCCUUGAUGUGUAGGAUAGGUGGGAGGCUUUGAAGUGUGGACGCCAGUCUGCAUGGAGCCGACCUUGAAAUACCACCCUUUAAUGUUUGAUGUUCUAACGUUGGCCCGUAAUCCGGGUUGCGGACAGUGUCUGGUGGGUAGUUUGACUGGGGCGGUCUCCUCCUAAAGAGUAACGGAGGAGCACGAAGGUUGGCUAAUCCUGGUCGGACAUCAGGAGGUUAGUGCAAUGGCAUAAGCCAGCUUGACUGCGAGCGUGACGGCGCGAGCAGGUGCGAAAGCAGGUCAUAGUGAUCCGGUGGUUCUGAAUGGAAGGGCCAUCGCUCAACGGAUAAAAGGUACUCCGGGGAUAACAGGCUGAUACCGCCCAAGAGUUCAUAUCGACGGCGGUGUUUGGCACCUCGAUGUCGGCUCAUCACAUCCUGGGGCUGAAGUAGGUCCCAAGGGUAUGGCUGUUCGCCAUUUAAAGUGGUACGCGAGCUGGGUUUAGAACGUCGUGAGACAGUUCGGUCCCUAUCUGCCGUGGGCGCUGGAGAACUGAGGGGGGCUGCUCCUAGUACGAGAGGACCGGAGUGGACGCAUCACUGGUGUUCGGGUUGUCAUGCCAAUGGCACUGCCCGGUAGCUAAAUGCGGAAGAGAUAAGUGCUGAAAGCAUCUAAGCACGAAACUUGCCCCGAGAUGAGUUCUCCCUGAGACUUAGAGUCUCCUGAAGGAACGUUGAAGACGACGACGUUGAUAGGCCGGGUGUGUAAGCGCAGCGAUGCGUUGAGCUAACCGGUACUAAUGAACCGUGAGGCUUAACCUUACAACGCCGAAG
This 2915-nucleotide ribosomal RNA is filed under the name Escherichia coli. Its description in RNAcentral is "partial 23S ribosomal RNA". It matches the Rfam family "Bacterial large subunit ribosomal RNA". The record is from RNAcentral. Lineage: Bacteria; Pseudomonadati; Pseudomonadota; Gammaproteobacteria; Enterobacterales; Enterobacteriaceae.